GACGAACGCUGGCGGCGUGCUUAACACAUGCAAGUCGAACGGUGAAGCGCCUUCCUUUUUGGUGGGUGUGGAUGAGUGGCGAACGGGUGAGUAACACGUGAGUAACCUGCUCCCUUCUUCUGGAUAACCGCAUGAAAGUGUGGCUAAUACGGGAUAUUCUGGGUCUGUCGCAUGAUGGGUCUGGGAAAGAUAUUGUUUCGGUGGGGGAUGGGCUCGCGGACUAUCAGCUUGUUGGUGGGGUGAUGGCCUACCAAGGCGGUGACGGGUAGCCGGCCUGAGAGGGUGGACGGUCACAGAGGGACUGAGACACGGCCCAGACUCCUACGGGAGGCAGCAGUGGAGAAUAUUGCACAGUGGGCGGAAGCAUGAUGCAGCGACGCCGCGUGGGGGAUGGAGGCCUGCGGGUUGUGAACCUCUUUCGCCAGUGAAGCAGGCCUGCCUCGUUUGUGGGUGGGUUGACGGUAGCUGGAUAAGAAGCGCCGGCUAACUACGUG
Molecule: ribosomal RNA, 494 nt
Filed under: uncultured bacterium
Lineage: Bacteria
Description: partial 16S ribosomal RNA
Rfam family: Bacterial small subunit ribosomal RNA
Source: RNAcentral